RNAcentral lists this ribosomal RNA (539 nucleotides) under uncultured bacterium. RNAcentral describes it as "partial 16S ribosomal RNA". It matches the Rfam family "Bacterial small subunit ribosomal RNA", at positions 28 to 523 of the family's 1533-position model. The record is from RNAcentral.
GAUGAACGCUGGCGGUGUGCCUAAUACAUGCAAGUCGUACGCAUUCUCGUUUCUGAUUGACGGUGCUUGCACCUAAUUGACGAGACAUUGGAAUGAGUGGCGGACGGGUGAGUAACACGUGGGUAACCUGCCCAGAAGCGGGGGAUAACAUUUGGAAACAGAUGCUAAUACCGCAUAAAAGUCAAAACCACAUGGUUUUGAUUUAAAAGAUGGCCUUUGUGCUAUCACUUCUGGAUGGACCCGCGGCGUAUUAGCUAGUUGGUAAGGUAACGGCUUACCAAGGCAACGAUACGUAGCCGAACUGAGAGGUUGAUCGGCCACAAUGGGACUGAGACACGGCCCAUACUCCUACGGGAGGCAGCAGUAGGGAAUCUUCCACAAUGGGCGCGAGCCUGAUGGAGCAACACCGCGUGAGUGAAGAAGGGUUUCGGCUCGUAAAACUCUGUUGUUAAAGAAGAACGUAUCUAAGAGUAACUGCUUAGGUAGUGACGGUAUUUAACCAGAAAGCCACGGCUACUACGUGCCAGCCGCCGCCGUAA